This 421-nucleotide unclassified non-coding RNA is filed under the name soil metagenome. RNAcentral's name for it is "partial contains 5.8S ribosomal RNA, internal transcribed spacer 2, and large subunit ribosomal RNA". The stretch from base 1 to 120 matches the Rfam family "5.8S ribosomal RNA", at positions 35 to 154 of the family's 154-position model. The record is from RNAcentral.
GAUGAAGAACGCAGCGAAAUGCGAUAAGUAAUGUGAAUUGCAGAAUUCAGUGAAUCAUCGAAUCUUUGAACGCAUAUUGCGCUCUUUGGUAUUCCGAAGAGCAUGCUUGUUUGAGUAUCAGUAAACACCUCAACCUCUUCUUGAUUUUUCAAAAGGAGGGUGGACUUGAGCUAUCCCAACAACCUUUACCGGUCGGCGGGCGGCUUGAAAUGAAGGUGCAGCUGGACUUUUAUCUGAGCUAAAAGCAUAUCUAUUUAGUCCUCGUCAAACAGGAUUAUUACUUUUGCUGCAGCUAACAUAAAGGAUAAUUGUCCUCUUUGCUGACUGAUGCAGGAUUUUACGACACUUUAUGUGUUGUUCAACUCGAUCUCAAAUCAAGUAAGACUACCCGCUGAACUUAAGCAUAUCAAUAAGCGGAGGA